UGGGGAAUAUUGCACAAUGGGGGAAACCCUGAUGCAGCGACGCCGCGUGAGCGAAGAAGGCUUUCGAGUCGUAAAGCUCUGUCCUAUGAGAAGAUAAUGACGGUAUCAUAGGAGGAAGCCCUGGCUAAAUACGUGCCAGCAGCCGCGGUAAUACGUAUGGGGCGAGCGUUGUCCGGAAUUAUUGGGCGUAAAGGGUACGUAGGUGGUUUUUUAAGUCAGGUGUCAAAGCGUGGAGCUUAACUCCAUUAAGCACUUGAAACUGAAAGACUUGAGUGAAGGAGAGGAAAGUGGAAUUCCUAGUUUAGCGGUGAAAUGCGUAGAUAUUAGGAGGAAUACCGGUGGCGAAGGCGACUUUCUGGACUUUUACUGACGCUCAGGUACGAAAGCGUGGGGAGCAAACAGG
RNAcentral lists this ribosomal RNA (403 nucleotides) under Verrucomicrobiota bacterium. Its description in RNAcentral is "Verrucomicrobia bacterium partial 16S ribosomal RNA". It matches the Rfam family "Bacterial small subunit ribosomal RNA", at positions 355 to 776 of the family's 1533-position model. The record is from RNAcentral. Lineage: Bacteria; Pseudomonadati; Verrucomicrobiota.